RNAcentral lists this non-coding RNA (49 nucleotides) under Trypanosoma brucei brucei. Lineage: Eukaryota; Euglenozoa; Kinetoplastea; Trypanosomatida; Trypanosomatidae. The record is from RNAcentral.
AUAUAUAAAAUGAUACCGUAGAAUUUGAGUAGUAUAGAUAUAAUGAUAU